RNAcentral lists this transfer-messenger RNA (340 nucleotides) under Lachnospiraceae. RNAcentral describes it as "1XD42-69 sp003612565 Standard tmRNA". It matches the Rfam family "transfer-messenger RNA". Rfam says of the family: Bacterial tmRNA, also known as 10Sa RNA or SsrA, is named for its dual tRNA and mRNA-like properties. Lineage: Bacteria; Bacillati; Bacillota; Clostridia; Lachnospirales. The record is from RNAcentral. RNAcentral also lists the same sequence under 3 other names.
GGGCUAGUAAAGGUUUCGACAGGGAUCUUGAAGCUGGAGAAGCGAGUCGCAUGGGAUGCGUGAAAUGCCAAAAUUAAAAUUAAACGCUGAAGAUAAUUUAGCUUACGCUGCCUAAUGGCAGCAGUCUGACCUAGUGCACCUACACAUUAGGACCCAGGCUUCGACUAUGUAGGAAACGACAUUGGCAAAGCUUUGAGCCAAUGGGCGUAUCAUGAAGCUACUAAAACCGUCAGGGUGUCUCUCCCCGGGCGGCGGAGGGAAUGUAAAAGGAGAGACUACACUCGUAGAAGGACAGGGGAUUGGUUUUUGGACACGGGUUCGAUUCCCGUCUAGUCCAUUU